CCUACCUCUGUUCCACCAACAUUGUGGCUGCCCCAAGUCACCUGUGGGAAAACAGACAUGACUGUUAAACUACCUGCUGGAAUGCUGAUAGAUGUGAAGGUGCUUGGUCCAGAGGCGUUGUUGCACGUUCAUGAUGGAUACAGUGUAACUCAGUGGAAAAGUCUCAAUGCCUUGUUUGUCAAAUUUUCCCAAUCAAAUGUGGAGGCAUUUCAAGACAUCAAUGCCUGCAGCAUUCAUCACAAGUGAAUGCAUCACUGAUGACUACUGGUGUGCAUCAUGUAAUUUUAACAACCAAUGCAUAUUUCACUACAAUAUACCAUUUUUUCAUAGUGUAACUUGACACCAUCGAUAAAGGCUGCUAACCUAAGGCUUUUAUACUCUUCACCAGCUAUGUAAGUUAAUGCUCUUGUCAGGUGUUUUGUUAUACUUUUAUGUUGGAAUGCGUGUAUAUGACAGGAUUCAAGACGUAGAUUCUAUAUUUAACAACAUGGCAUAGUAUUGUAUAUCAUUAUAAUUGCUACCAGGAAUAUCCCUUUAGGAAUAUUAUCGAUCCAUUUUUUUUAUAAAAUAUAUAAAUGAGUGAUACAAAUACUGACCAAAAACAAUUAUGAUGUGUUUUUGGCAAAAGUUGUGAAGAUUUUUGCUAAUAUUUUACAAAGAUGUAUUUUACAAACCUGGCUAAGUUGGUUGUGUUACCUGCAUAACUAUAAUCAUAUUUCAGUUAUCAUUGGGCAUAUUCCACCAUUAUUGGAAGAGUUGUAGCAAUGUCAUACCAAUCCAAUUAAAACCAAUGGAGCUGGUUGGCGGCCAUAUUUCUAGCUUCAUGUCAAAUUUGGUGCACUCAUUGUGAAGACGUUUAGCAAAAAUGGGUUACCUGUACCUCUUUGCUGGAUCCAAUGCAUUCCUGUAGGAUUUCAUUUCAUUGCAGGUUUCACAUCAAAUGUAUUGAUGUUAACACAAGGUAACACUUUAUUUGGAUAGUCCAUCUGUAGAUGCUCUACAGACUAUCAGUAAUAUGUCAACUGCAUGUCUGUAGUUCAUCUACAGUUAGUCUAUCAGCAGUAUUUCAUCAACAUAUCUUUAGACUUUCAGUAGCAUCUCAACAGUAUAUCUCAACAUUUUCAUCAAGGUAGUCUAUAGUCCAUCUAUAGAUGCUCUACAAUCCCUCUGUAAACUAUCAGCAGAAUUUCAACACUAUAUCUGUAGCCCGUAAGUCAUAUUUCAACAGUAUAUCCCCUCGCUUUUACAAUGCCACGACCCAGCAAUUUUUUUUACAUUUUAGUCAUUUAGCAGACGCUCUUCUCCAGAGCGACUUACAGUAGUGAAUACAUUUCAUUAAAAAAAAAGUUUUUCCCCGUACUGGUCCCCCGUGUGUUUGCAACCCUGGCGUUGCAAACACCAUGCUCUACCAACUGAGCCACACGGGACUAUAGAUGAUUAACAAACAAACAGGAGAUUAUCAGCAGCAUCUCAACUGUGUAUCAGUAACAAGUUCAUUCUAUUGUUCUAUCUGUAGAUAUGCUUUUGGACUAUCCAAAUAAAGUGAAACACAAGUUGAUUUUAGUUGGUCUACAGACUAUAUACUUCACAUUCAAAUAUGUAUCAACUGAUGUGCAUUCACUAACACUCCAGUAAUGUAACGGCCGUCGAAGGGAGUAGACCAAGGCGCAGCGGGUUGAGUGCUCAUUUUUAACUUUUAUUGAACACGUAAACAAAACAAGAACCAAACGACAGCUUAACAGUUCCGUCAGGUACAAAACACUAGACUGAAAACAACCACCCACAAACACAAGCUGAAAAACCCUAACCCUAACCCUAAAUAGGACCUCCAAUCAGAGGCAACAAGAAACAGCUGCCUCCAAUUGAAGGUCAAACAAAAAUCCUAAACAUAGAAAUAGAAAAACUAGACACGGACAUAGAAAUAUACUAACAUAGAACAUCUACCAAAACCCCCGAAACACAUAAAACAAACACCCCCUGCCACGCCCUGACCAAACUACAAUAACAAACAACCUCUUUUACUGGUCAGGACGUGACAAGUAAUCCUCUGUAGAUUUGCAUUGGGACAAUCUAAAUAAAGUGAAAGACUGUGUCAUUAAGUUCGUAUGCAAUAAUCACUCAACAGAUAUGCAUUGGGACUAUGCAAUAAAGUGAAAUACUGUUGAAUUAAGUUCCUAUGCAAUAAUCACUCAACACAUUCAAAUGUCCAACUGUUGUUGGGAUGACUGAAAUGGCCUUUUGACACUGGAGCACCUGGAGAAAUAAAUCAAGAGGGAAACAAAC
RNAcentral lists this long non-coding RNA (2283 nucleotides) under Salmo salar (Atlantic salmon). Its description in RNAcentral is "lncRNA (ENSSSAG00000086154.1)". Lineage: Eukaryota; Metazoa; Chordata; Actinopteri; Salmoniformes; Salmonidae. The record is from RNAcentral.